This 470-nucleotide ribosomal RNA is filed under the name uncultured bacterium. RNAcentral's name for it is "bacterial SSU rRNA". It matches the Rfam family "Bacterial small subunit ribosomal RNA", at positions 917 to 1382 of the family's 1533-position model. The record is from RNAcentral.
GGGCCCGCACAAGCGGUGGAGUAUGUGGUUUAAUUCGAUGAUACGCGAGAAACCUUACCUGGUCUUGACAUGUAGAGAACCCUUAAGAGAUUAGGGGGUGCCUGCUUGCAGGAGCUCUAACACAGGUGGUGCAUGGUUGUCGUCAGCUCGUGUCGUGAGAUGUUGGGUUAAGUCCCGCAACGAGCGCAACCCUUGUUGCUAGUUACCAGCACGUAAUGGUGGGAACUCUAGCGAGACUGCCGGUGACAAACCGGAGGAAGGUGGGGAUGACGUCAAAUCAUCACGCCCCUUACGACCAGGGCCACACACGUACUACAAUGCCCGGUACAACGAGCUGCCAAGCUGCGAAGCUGCGCUAAUCUCUUAAAACCGGGCCAAGUUCAGAUCGGAGGCUGCAAUUCGCCUCCGUGAAGCUGGAAUCGCUAGUAAACGCAAAUCAUCAUGUUGCGUUGAAUACGUUCUCGGGCCUU